GAAUUGUUCGCAAUGGGCGCAAGCCUGACGACGCAACGCCGCGUGGAGGACGAAGAUUUUCGGAUCGUAAACUCCUUUCGAUCGGGACGAAUCGUCCGCGACCUAAUACGUCCCGGGACUUACGGUACCGGGAGCAGAAGCCCCGGCUACCCCCGUGCCAGCAGCCGCGGUAAUACGGGGGGGGCUAGCGUUGUUCGGAAUUACUGGGCGUAAAGGGCGCGUAGGCGGCCUGCUAAGUCGGAUGUGAAAUCCCCCGGCUCAACCGGGGAACUGCAUCCGAUACUGGCGGGCUCGAAUCCGGGAGAGGGAUGUGGAAUUCCAGGUGUAGCGGUGAAAUGCGUAGAUAUCUGGAGGAACACCGGUGGCGAAGGCGGCAUCCUGGACCGGUAUUGACGCUGAGGCGCGAAAGCCAGGGGAGCAAACGGG
RNAcentral lists this ribosomal RNA (426 nucleotides) under uncultured bacterium. RNAcentral describes it as "bacterial SSU rRNA". It matches the Rfam family "Bacterial small subunit ribosomal RNA", at positions 359 to 776 of the family's 1533-position model. The record is from RNAcentral.